UCAAGAGUAGUCUACACCAGAUAUCUGAUUUCGACUCAGAAGACCUUGAUCUCAAGCUCUUGUA
Molecule: transfer RNA, 64 nt
Filed under: Tropidophis haetianus (Haitian dwarf boa)
Lineage: Eukaryota; Metazoa; Chordata; Lepidosauria; Squamata; Tropidophiidae
Description: tRNA-Arg
Source: RNAcentral